UCGCCUCUUGAUUUAUGAUAAGAGGUCCAGCCUGCCCAGUGAAUUUUCAACGGCCGCGGUAUUCUGACCACGCGAAGGUAGCAUAAUCACUUGUUCUUUAAAUGGGGACUUGUAUCAACGGCAUCACGAGGGUUUUACUGUCUCCUCUUUCUAAUCAGUGAAAUUGAUCUUCCCGUGAAGAAGCGGGAAUUACUAUAUAAGACGAGAAGACCCCAUGGAGCUUCAAACCAAAUAGCAAUUUAACCAUAUAUCUCCUAAUAACUUUAAAUUAUGCCAUAAGGUUUUGGGUUGGGGUGACCGCGGAGUAAAACAUAUCCUCCACGACGGAAAGACCACAAUCUUUAUUUAAGAGCGACAGCUCCAAAAAUUAGCACACUAACGUUUACUGACCCGAUAUUCGAUCAACGGAACAAGUUACCCUGGGGAUAACAGCGCAAUCUACUUUGAGAGCUCAUAUCGACAAGUAGGCUUACGACCUCGAUGUUGGAUCAGGGUAUCCUAGUGGUGCAGCCGCUACUGAGGGUUCGUUUGUUCAACGAUUAAAACCCUACGU
RNAcentral lists this ribosomal RNA (553 nucleotides) under Polypedates leucomystax (Java whipping frog). RNAcentral's name for it is "partial 16S ribosomal RNA". It matches the Rfam family "Bacterial large subunit ribosomal RNA", at positions 1817 to 2601 of the family's 2925-position model. Lineage: Eukaryota; Metazoa; Chordata; Amphibia; Anura; Rhacophoridae. The record is from RNAcentral.